Long non-coding RNA from Equus quagga, 5105 nucleotides. RefSeq lists it as uncharacterized. NCBI's taxonomy places the organism in Eukaryota, Metazoa, Chordata, Mammalia, Perissodactyla, Equidae. The transcript is spliced from 6 exons. The record is from RefSeq and is a predicted model, not a curated record.
CGCGGGCACUGUUGAUGGUGAGCCCCCGGAAGAAGACCCCCAGUCCUUCCUGCCGGGCGCUGCUUACUAUGCAGUCCAGCACCCCUCGGUAUGUGAGCUCAGCUCCCCAGCCCUGGAGAAGGCUGAUGGCAGAGGAUGCUGGCGGUUGGCCCUAGCGGUAAUCUUUAGAGGGUGGCAGGCUAAGUUUGCCUACUUCCUUCCCGCAGGCAGGGCAGUGGGCUGGGGACCCUCCCCGUGAGAUGGGACUCUGCUGUCACCCUCCGGAGCCUGUGGGUGGUGCUGAGCGGGCUUCUCCAGAGGGUGUUCUCCUGAGCCCCGACCAAAGGUGGGGUGGCAGGCAGGAGCUGGUUAGGCCCCUCCCCUCCACAUCCCGUGCCCAUGGGAGCAGUGGGGACAUUGGACAUUACAGCACCAUUUGAUGGGGUCCACCUAAGCCCAGCCAAAAGCAACUUUUGUGCACACAGAGGCUGUCAGUUCCUGCCCUGUGCUAGCAAGAAUUACUUCCCGCCUCUUCCCCCGGUCUCCACCCUAUAACUCAUUUUCUUUUCUCUUUUUCUUUGAGGAAGAUUAGCCCUGAGCUAACAUCCAUGCCCAUCUUCCUCUACUUUAUAUGUGGGACGCCUGCCGCAGCAUGGCUUGCCAAGCAGUGUGCAGGUCCGCACCCAGGCUCUGAACCGGCAAACCCCAGGCCGCUGAAGCGGAACAUGCAAACUUAACCACUGCGCCAGUGGGCCAGCCCCUGUAACUCAUUUUCUGCUCCAAGACCCUGUGAAACCGAAGCCACAGGCUCCAGUUUGUCCCUGGACCCAGGCCCCAUCAGUGACUCUACAGUCCCCAGUUCUGCUAUCGGUUCUGCUUUCUAAAGAGCUGGAGAGGAGGGUGACUGAGGAGCUGGGCCUGGCUAGGCCUGAAGCAGGCCGCUUGGCCUGGGGGCUCAGUUCUCUCCCUUGUUUUUGUGGGGUGCCAGGUCUUGAGCCUUGGGAAAUACACAGGCAUGAGUCCCACACAUGAAGGGGCAGGAGAAGAGCCAGGCCCUUUGGGGCCUUAUGAAUCAUUAAUUCACUUGAGUGAGCCUCCUGACUCUGUCCUUUCUCCUUGCUCUCUGCCCGGUGAAGUGUGUCAGGAGCAUCAGAGCACGUGCCAAACAGAUGGUGACCUGAGGUCCCUGGCUGGGGUGUGGGACAGAGCCAGGCACGUGUCCCUCUGCCUCUAUGCCCAGGCCCCCAUUAAGCUGGGGUUCUCCCUGGAGCCGGAGGCCCCUCUUCCCUCCACCCCACCCCUCAGGAGCUGGUACUUAAUUGCUGAGAACAAAGACCAAAACCAAAUGAUCAGAGUCACUUAAUGAUUAAUACCCUGGGCCUCUCCCAGUGAGGUCUGUGGACUGGAGCCCGGUAAAGCUCACCGACUGAGGCCACCCAGAGGCUGCAGGCAGAAGGGCUGAGCAGGGCAGAGGCUAGGAAGCCCCCAGUGCAGCCGGCCAUGAAGAUGUGUGCGUAGCUGGGCGGCUGGGCCCGCCGCUCCUGGUGGGAGGUUGCUGUGAGAGCCAGCAGGGUAUUGCUGUAGAUCCCGAAAAGGACGGAGUUGACCACGGCGAUGCUCGCGAUGGGGAAGCUCAUCCCCUUGAAGAAGCCCAGGAGCUGCAGAGAGACCAAGCUAGAGUGGGGGCAGAGCUCUGCCAGGGGGUGGCAGGGAAGGAAGCUGGAGCUGACUGACUGCCCUUGAUGCCUCCCACCCCAAAGCCCCCAAAGAAGCAGGCCACCCACCGACUCAUGGCGGCAACUCCCAGGAGGCUCAGGAUGGCUGGCUCUGAGCCUCCAGGGCAACUAGGACUUUGGCCUCAGCUUCUCCUAUGUCACUCCCCCCUCCACCGCUUCCCCAGGAAGUGACCCAUCACUGGGGAUAAGGUGACAGAAGGAAGAAAAACAUCUCACCAGAGAUCCAGCCGGCCACGAACUCCUCCACAGGCAUUGUCAGGCAGAGCGGGUACCCAUGGCUCCAGCAGAGGAGGCGCUGGUCAAACCCUACGUAUCAGGUGGCCCACCCUCCCCGGAACAGGCAGUGACGCCAGCGAGAAGGAGCAUGGCCACCAGGGGGCAGGCCCAGCCCGCAGUUGCAGUCGCCUGGGCAUCGGGGAACCGCCCCAGUCCAAGGAGGGGAAACAACCCCCAGGGGAGUGACUCACCAGGACCCGAAGCUCCACCCUCUCCCUGGCUUGUUUACCACAAUGACAACCCGUGUGAGUCACAAACAGCCUCCUCUUCUCCGAGCCUUUUUCCCAGGGGAAAGCUGGGGAUUUUGAGUGUAUAAAGGGUGGCGUGUCUCUCUGCUUGGGGCUGACCAGGUUGUGACUGCCCAUUUCUCUUUGGACAACUACAGCCCAAACUAUCAAACUAUCAGGACAGGACCUGAAUCCCUCUCCCUGGAGGAUAGCGGGAGGUGGAGGCACAGAGGAGGGGGUCCUUCUUUCGAGGGUAAAUAGAUCCAGUGCGGAGGCGUCACUGCCCGAGGAAUGCUAGGAAGGCUUCAAAUGGGGGCACCAACCCUUGACCCCUGCCUUUCUCUCACACCUCACCUAAUAUUAAUAUGACCUUCAAAACACAUCCCAAAUCCAACCACUCCUUGCCUCCUCCACAGCUACCACCCUGGCCCAAGCCACCAUCACCUCCACUUGGAUUCCUGCCCCUCACUGGCCUCCCCUCUUGCCCCUUUCCCGUCAGUUCUCCACACAGCAGCCAGAGCGAUGCAGUGGAAAUCUAAGUCAGACCAUGUCUCCCCUCUGCCCCACACCCUGCAAUGGCCCCAUCGUACUCAGAGUCCAAACCAAAGUCCCUCCUAGGCUCCAGGAGCCCUCACACUGCCCCCCCCCCCCCCCCACUCCUCUGAUCGCAUCUCUGGCCACGCCCCUGCUCGCUCUGCUCCAGCCACCCUGGCCUCCUCUUCAAACAGGCACCCGCCUCCAGGCCUUUGCACUGGCUGUCUCUUCUUCCUGUUGGCUUCCUCUAGCCUGGGCUCAAACGUCACCCACGCAGAAAGCCCACCCUGACCAUCUCUUUGGAUAUUGCCCUCUGCUCCCCCGCCCCCACCUCGCAUUCCUCGUGCCCCUUCUCUGGCUCUACCUUUGCUUUCUCCCAUUGCACACAUCACCUUCUGACACGCUGCGGUUAACAUGUCUGUCUGGGCAGGGAUUUCUGGCUGUUCUCUUUACUAUGUGGCACAGAGUUGGCACCAAUAAAUACUUGUUGAAAGAUUGAAUGAGUGGACAAGUCAGGGAGCAGCUUAGUGGGCAGGCCCGCAGCCAGCCCUGGGGCUCCUGUUCUCUCUCCCCAUCUCCAAAAGGGACAUACCCCCCUCACCCUGGCAUUCACCCCCACCCCCAGCCUCACCUGCUGUGCUCUGACUGCCCCGGGCUUCCCUGGGGUCCUAACCAUGCUCCUGCGGCUCCCGAUGCCUGGAAUGCCUUCUGGAAUUUCCUCCAGUGCCCCUCCUCGCCAGACCUGGGUUGCCGUCUCCUCACCCUACCACACAUCCUGCCAGAUGUCAGCCUUGUUAUUUAACCUUUCUGAUCCUGUUUUCUCGUCAUAAAAUGGAGAUAUAAGACUUACCUGUUAGUGGUUAUAAGGAUUGAAGCGCUUAGGAAAAGUCUGGCACAUUGUAUGUGCUCCACAAAUGGCAGCUACUAUUACGCCUAUUUCCAUUGAUGGGGUCCCCGGGGAUGACAAGAGGAAACACACGGGAAAGGCCUGGACACAGUGGGUGCUCAGCAAUUGAGGACCCUUCUCUUCCUGCUUGUAGCAGUUUAUAGCUCUUAAGGCAAUUCUCUCAUCUUAUGUAGUUUUAAACAUGCAUUUCUCCUGGGCUUCUUUCUCUCUCCUCUCUCCCUCCACUCCCCAAUUAAAGCAGAACAUAAGCUUCCUGAGGGCAGGGGCCGUGUCCCACUCAGGUCUCCAUCCCCUGCGCUAGCCUGGGCCCUGUAUCUAGCAAGUACUCAACAACACAGAACUAUAUUCCCAGCUGGUUUAGGGAGGCCACCGAGACAUUGUGUCCCGCUCUGAGGGGCCCAGGGCUCAGAACUCAGAGGGAGAUGCCUGUUCCCACUGCACACUCUUCUCUCCAGCUCACAUCUGAGCUCCCUCGAGCUCUUAGGUCAUGCUAGGAAGGAAGACAUGAUGUAAUGGGCUCAGCUGUGGGCAGUGUAGGGCUGGAGGGCAGGCAAAGGGCUGUUUGAAAUAUUGAGGAAAAUCGGACUAGGUUAGGACCUGGAGCUGCCUUCCGAUGCCGGGGAAGCGGAAUGGGGUGAGCCCACUUCCCCCUCCCGACAUCCCUGGUCUGAUCGCCCACCCACUGUUGUCACUUGGAACACCUUCCGAUUCCUCCGGCUCAGGAAGGUGCCCACGGACCCGUUUUUCUCCUUGAGAUCUACACCUCAGGCACACACAGGCUAGUGUUGCCAGGACAUGUUGGUGCCCUGACUCUGGGGACAGGUGGGUUCACACCCGCCUCUUCCAGCUGCUACAACUCUUCCCCUCCUGGGAAUAUUCUCAAGGUCUCAGGUUGUGUGCCUAAGACAGCGAGGGCUCACGUGAGUGCUCCAUGGAAAAACAAGUGAGCCUGGCCUGGGUUUGUGACAUAUAAUUUGAGGGUCCUUGGAGGGUAUGGAGUCCAACCUCCUCAUUUUACGGAUGAGGAAACUGAGGCUGGAGGAGAAGGGGCUUGUCCAGGAUGAGUCAGGACAGGGACCCAGUCUACUGACCACAGCGGCGAGCCCAUCACCUCCACGGCCUGAGGGCGCUGCAGUACAGGCCGCUGCUGCGUCUCCUUCGCCCGGGCCCAGGUCAGUGUGGAUCCCUGACACGGCCCAGGAAGCAUCUCCAUUCCACGGGUGAGGGGUCCGGCCCUAAGUCACACGCAAAGGAGUGCCGGAGCUCGCGUCCCUAUCCCCGACUGCCUUGAACCUUCGCCACACCCUGUUACAGGCCAUCAGUCUGGGCCUGUGUGUGGGAGCCAUCGCCCUCGGUCACUUGGGUUGGUGGCGGGGCCGCUUCGCAGCGCGACCAUCCCUCAGGCGGAACCAGACGCAGGAGACUAGCGGACCGGCGUCCCGGGCA